RNAcentral lists this ribosomal RNA (72 nucleotides) under Bacillus anthracis (anthrax bacterium). RNAcentral describes it as "partial 16S ribosomal RNA". It matches the Rfam family "Bacterial small subunit ribosomal RNA", at positions 1 to 70 of the family's 1533-position model. The record is from RNAcentral. Lineage: Bacteria; Bacillati; Bacillota; Bacilli; Caryophanales; Bacillaceae. RNAcentral also lists the same sequence under 14 other names.
CUUUAUUGGAGAGUUUGAUCCUGGCUCAGGAUGAACGCUGGCGGCGUGCCUAAUACAUGCAAGUCGAGCGAA